AAAUCCAGCAGCCAGCAUGUGGACUGAAGGUCACAUCUCUCCUGUCUCUGGUCCUACUAAGUUAAAGUGUGUAAGCACCUUGGAGUUGCCAGAUGCCUGGCCCAGGCUGUACUAGGCCAGUUGCUGAGGCAUGUGCUGCCUGAAGGUCUUAAAAAGGAACUCCUACCACAAAGUGUCUGGAGCAAGGUGUGCUGAGGAGAAAGUGAAAAUCUGCCUGCUGGCCAGCCUUUCCCAUCAGCCUUUGGUGGAGAGAAGAGGAGCUCACCUGAGCACAAAGGGGUGGAUUGUCCGUGAAAACUCCUCAACAGCAGCCCAGGUUUCUGCAUCCCCAUGCAUUCCUGCUCUGCACCACAUGAGUCUCUGCUCCAGGCUCUUGUCCUUGGGGUGGGCAGAGGCUUUGCUGAAUCCAUGGACUCCUGGUUGUCCACAGCAUCAGGCUCAAGACAGACCCAGCUGGGUCCUGGCACCAGAGCAACCGUGA
This 481-nucleotide long non-coding RNA is filed under the name Junco hyemalis (dark-eyed junco). RNAcentral describes it as "lncRNA (ENSJHYG00000011661.1)". The record is from RNAcentral. Lineage: Eukaryota; Metazoa; Chordata; Aves; Passeriformes; Passerellidae.